AAAAUUUUAAUUAAAUUUUAGAAAUAAUAUAAGGGUUAAAUAUGUUUUUAGUCCCUAUAGGGCGAUUUUGGUUUUAAUCCCUCUUUCAAUGUAAGAUACAAUUUAGUCCUCAAACUUUAGGAAACUUUGGUUUUAGUCCUCAAAAACUAACUCCCUAAAAAAAACUGCUGAUGUGGCUAAUGGUGAUACAAAACGCUAUUUUCUCUUCUUUUUUUUUCCUUUCCUGACACAAAGCUGAUCUUUGACUGACUGCUUCUCUCCCUUCCUUUUGCUCCAUCUCUUUCCUUGCUUCUUCACUUCUCUCCCUCAUUCUUCCACUCUUCCAUCUCCCGUC
This 334-nucleotide long non-coding RNA is filed under the name Vigna radiata. RNAcentral's name for it is "long non-coding RNA (VRAD_LNC003748)". The record is from RNAcentral. Lineage: Eukaryota; Viridiplantae; Streptophyta; Magnoliopsida; Fabales; Fabaceae.